AAGCGAGCGCAUGUACAGUCGAGUGCUGGUGGUGGGACAGCGUUCUUUUUUCGAUUUUCUUGAAGAAAUGCCAGCUUGUUGUGCGGUGAACUACACGAGGCGACCAGAAAAGUUUUCAGGGAAGACAUUUCACGCUUAAGUUUCUGCGCUCGAAGCCGCAAAUCUUCCAGGAAUGGGUGAUUAGCCUCAAAAGAGACAAAUGGAAACCAACUCCAGGCAGGAGGCUUUGCAGCGACCAUUUUACAGAGUCUUGUUUUGACCGCUCGGGUGAAAGAACCCGUCUUCGGGACGAUGCCGUCCCAACGCUGAUUUGUUUCCCGGAGCAUUUGCAGAAGAAAACUCCGAAAAGGAAAUCGCCCAGGGAGAUAGGCCAAAUCCUUCACUUCACCCCGGAGGAUGAGACGCCCAGGAGCCCAGUGGUGCAGUCUCCUGAGGCUUCGGAUAAAAUACUUGACCACGACUACACUCUUUAAAACUGAUGGUAGUGCUAAAAAGGACGAACACACGGUGAAAAGACGACACGACGACGAGGGAACGCUUUUAUUGUUUUAUUUCAUUGACGACUACGCUGUCUGGUACACUCCAAAGACUAAAAAGGAGGCUUGAUAAGGGUACAGGCGCUGAAGAGGGCAUCAAGAAUAAGCUGAGACUUAGCCAGCAACAGGAGCGUCGACUGAAGACAAAGGUCACAUCACUUAGUGAAAUUGUCGUUGACCUCAAAAACAAGCAUCUCAUUUCAGACUAUGUGAGCACCAUGCUUGAAAAGUGCUUCUCAGGAGUGCCCCUGGAAGUUAUGCAACACCUCUUGAACCAAUCAAGCAAAAGUGACGAACCUGCUAGGCCGAGCCGAGAGAAGUACCCGCCCACAUGCGCAUGUUUGCCCUGAUAGUUCAGUUUUAUUCCACAAAGGCAUACAAUUACGUAAGAGAAAGUUUUGAUUGUGCCUUGCUGCACCUGCCUACCACAACAAAGUAGCCAUCGUGGUCAUCAUAACUCAAUAAAUGGAGAACCUGGCUUCACAAGUUAAGCUAUAAAUGCCAUUCGUACGAAGGCUAUAGUGAAGCCAGAAAAAAACCACAAGAAACUUCGAAGUAGCCUCAUAGUGGACGAGAUGGCAAUCAGAAAACACAUAGAAUGGGAUGGACGCAAGUUUCGAGGUUGUGUAGAUAUAGAUAAUGAAAUGGACGAUGACAGCAACAAUGUUGCAAGUGAAGCUAUGAUUUAUAUGCUUGUAUCUCUUGACUCGCACUGGACCAUUCCUUUGGAAGUUGCACCGGU
Long non-coding RNA from Dermacentor albipictus, 1278 nucleotides. RefSeq lists it as uncharacterized. The record is from RefSeq and is a predicted model, not a curated record. NCBI's taxonomy places the organism in Eukaryota, Metazoa, Arthropoda, Arachnida, Ixodida, Ixodidae.